UUUUUCCUGCUCGGUGCGUGACGGGCCCUAUUUAAACCCACAUCUCUGAAACGGGACGCCCCCUCACAGUGCGGACCGCAGGCCUCCCGGCCCCCUUCGCGGGGCGGCCGGAAGUUGGAAGCGACGAAACACCGUGGAGGCGACCCACCUGCCGAUUUCGUGCAGGUUUUAAAUCGGGCUCGCACGGCCAGAGCGGGGUCACC
Molecule: non-coding RNA, 203 nt
Filed under: Clostridiales bacterium
Lineage: Bacteria; Bacillati; Bacillota; Clostridia; Eubacteriales
Also listed under: 4 other names
Description: 6S RNA
Rfam family: 6S / SsrS RNA
About the family: E. coli 6S RNA was the first non coding RNA to be sequenced, but its function was unknown until recently. It consists of 184 nucleotides that fold into an extended hairpin structure with a large single-stranded internal bulge.
Source: RNAcentral